AGAGUUUGAUCAUGGCUCAGGACGAACGCUGGCGGCGUGCUUAACACAUGCAAGUCGAGCGGAAAGGCCCUUCGGGGUACUCGAGCGGCGAACGGGUGAGUAACACGUGAGUAACCUGCCCCUGACUCUGGGAUAAGCCCGGGAAACUGGGUCUAAUACCGGAUACGACACCUCCUGGCAUCGGGUGGGUGUGGAAAGUUUUUCGGUUGGGGAUGGACUCGCGGCCUAUCAGCUUGUUGGUGGGGUAAUGGCCUACCAAGGCGACGACGGGUAGCCGGCCUGAGAGGGCGACCGGCCACACUGGGACUGAGACACGGCCCAGACUCCUACGGGAGGCAGCAGUGGGGAAUAUUGCGCAAUGGGCGAAAGCCUGACGCAGCGACGCCGCGUGGGGGAUGACGGCCUUCGGGUUGUAAACCUCUUUCAGCAGGGACGAAGUUGACGUGUACCUGCAGAAGAAGCGCCGGCUAACUACGUGCCAGCAGCCGCGGUAAUACGUAGGGCGCAAGCGUUGUCCGGAAUUAUUGGGCGUAAAGAGCUCGUAGGUGGCUUGUCACGUCGGGUGUGAAAGCUUGGGGCUUAACUCCAGGUCUGCAUUCGAUACGGGCUGGCUAGAGGUAGGUAGGGGAGAACGGAAUUCCUGGUGUAGCGGUGAAAUGCGCAGAUAUCAGGAGGAACACCGGUGGCGAAGGCGGUUCUCUGGGCCUUACCUGACGCUGAGGAGCGAAGGCGUGGGGAGCGAACAGGAUUAGAUACCCUGGUAGUCCACGCUGUAAACGUUGGGCGCUAGGUGUGGGGAC
Molecule: ribosomal RNA, 800 nt
Filed under: uncultured Streptosporangium sp.
Lineage: Bacteria; Bacillati; Actinomycetota; Actinomycetes; Streptosporangiales; Streptosporangiaceae
Description: bacterial SSU rRNA
Rfam family: Bacterial small subunit ribosomal RNA
Source: RNAcentral